GUAAAAGUCGUAACAAGGUUUCCGUAGGUGAACCUGCGGAAGGAUCAUUGUCGAAACCUGCCUAGCAGAACGACCCGCGAACCAGUUUCUCGACGCACGCCGGGGCGGUGGGGAGCACCCGCCCCUCGCCACCCGGCGAAGAGCCGCGGGGAGGACCCUUGCGGCCCCUCUCCCCGGCCCACGAACAAAACCCCGGCGCGGGACGCGCCAAGGACCAUGAAAAGAAAAGGGAGCACGCCCCCUUGGCCCGGGAACGGGGCGCGGGGCGCGUCUUCUUUCGCCAUGAGCAAAAGAA
RNAcentral lists this ribosomal RNA (295 nucleotides) under Casearia zizyphoides. The stretch from base 1 to 50 matches the Rfam family "Eukaryotic small subunit ribosomal RNA", at positions 1782 to 1831 of the family's 1831-position model. Lineage: Eukaryota; Viridiplantae; Streptophyta; Magnoliopsida; Malpighiales; Salicaceae. The record is from RNAcentral.